CGCGGAACUCCAGGUUGUCGGAUCAAGCUUUGGACUCGUCUCGUAAUGGGCCAAGCCUCCUAGCCCAAGUCCAGCUGUAAGGGUAUAGGGGUUUAUACCCCCACAGAAAGGUUCUGGUAACUCUCGAUUUGGUGGAGACAAGAUACAAAUCUAUCCGGCUUCCGAACAACACGAUCCAAAACCCAGCAAUUUUUUUAUUUUUUUUGAAAUUUUUCUUUUACUUAGGAGUACUAAAGAAGUAACCACAAAAAAUUUGAGCUUAAACAAGUGAAAUACGUGGCCUGCGGAA
RNAcentral lists this long non-coding RNA (289 nucleotides) under Sorghum bicolor (sorghum). Its description in RNAcentral is "long non-coding RNA (SBIC_LNC012775)". The record is from RNAcentral. Lineage: Eukaryota; Viridiplantae; Streptophyta; Magnoliopsida; Poales; Poaceae.